GCCCUUUUAGCUUAACUGGAAAAGUGAUCGGUUGAAGCCCGAUAGUUCACGGUUCGAUUCCGUGGGAGGGCAC
This 73-nucleotide transfer RNA is filed under the name Rhodococcus phage NiceHouse. RNAcentral's name for it is "tRNA-Phe". It matches the Rfam family "tRNA". From Rfam's summary of the family: Transfer RNA (tRNA) molecules are approximately 80 nucleotides in length. Their secondary structure includes four short double-helical elements and three loops (D, anti-codon, and T loops). Further hydrogen bonds mediate the characteristic L-shaped molecular structure. tRNAs have two regions of fundamental functional importance: the anti-codon, which is responsible for specific mRNA codon recognition, and the 3' end, to which the tRNAs corresponding amino acid is attached (by aminoacyl-tRNA synthetases). tRNAs cope with the degeneracy of the genetic code in two manners: having more than one tRNA (with a specific anti-codon) for a particular amino acid; and 'wobble' base-pairing, i.e. permitting non-standard base-pairing at the 3rd anti-codon position. Lineage: Duplodnaviria; Heunggongvirae; Uroviricota; Caudoviricetes. The record is from RNAcentral.